GACGACAAAAAAAUACAUAGAGAGACAUAAAGAGGAGAGGAAGAUACAAAUAAAGGAACAAUUUUUUGAGUAAAAAGGGUUUUGCUAUCAAGAAUAAUUGGGAAGGAGGAAGUCAUUGGAGCACCAAAAGUGUUGAAGGGGUAACACCAUUAAAGGAGAGUUAUAAGAGGUAAGUACUACGCUUUGAAAUAUUGUGUUAGCAUAUUUUAGCCAUGUGUGAGUGCGUAUUUUGUUUGUACAAUGGUUUCCAUUCUUGAAAAUUAGUUUUGUUACAUUAUCAUUUUACUUCAUAGUACAUUUCUCUAUAUAUUUCCUUUUUUUCAAUACACCCUGACAUUGCAAUUAUCCCAAACAAAAUCAUUGAUCACUCUCCUUCAACCACUACUCUCCCUUGCCAAUCCCCACCUUCAACAUACCCAAAGCCAAUACGCAAAAAGAUUCAUCAUGUUCCACUAAUCAACACUAAUUAUUUUCCAUUCUCAUUGCAUUCAACCUUCGGCUACUCCCUUUUGGGUUUUUACCCUCAUCAUCUAACACCUAUCCUCUCUUCUUCAUUUAUUUUCAUCCCAAGAUCCAUAAACAAAUACAUUAUUCCACCAAUUGUCAAUCCUCACG
This 615-nucleotide long non-coding RNA is filed under the name Vigna radiata. RNAcentral's name for it is "long non-coding RNA (VRAD_LNC016432)". The record is from RNAcentral. Lineage: Eukaryota; Viridiplantae; Streptophyta; Magnoliopsida; Fabales; Fabaceae.